AUUGAACGCUGGCGGCAUGCCUUACACAUGCAAGUCGAACGGCAGCACGGACUUCGGUCUGGUGGCGAGUGGCGAACGGGUGAGUAAUGUAUCGGAACGUACCUUUCAGUGGGGGAUAACGUAGCGAAAGUUACGCUAAUACCGCAUAUUCUGUGAGCAGGAAAGCAGGGGAUCGCAAGACCUUGCGCUGAUUGAGCGGCCGAUAUCAGAUUAGCUAGUUGGUGGGGUAAAGGCCUACCAAGGCUACGAUCUGUAGCGGGUCUGAGAGGAUGAUCCGCCACACUGGAACUGAGACACGGUCCAGACUCCUACGGGAGGCAGCAGUGGGGAAUUUUGGACAAUGGGGGCAACCCUGAUCCAGCCAUGCCGCGUGAGUGAAGAAGGCCUUCGGGUUGUAAAGCUCUUUCGGCCGGGAAGAAAUCGCAUCAGCUAAUACCUGGUGUGGAUGACGGUACCGGAAUAAGAAGCACCGGCUAACUACGUGCCAGCAGCCGCGGUAAUACGUAGGGUGCGAGCGUUAAUCGGAAUUACUGGGCGUAAAGCGUGCGCAGGCGGUUGUGUAAGACAGGCGUGAAAUCCCCGGGCUCAACCUGGGAACUGCGCUUGUGACUGCACAGCUAGAGUACGGCAGAGGGGGGUGGAAUUCCACGUGUAGCAGUGAAAUGCGUAGAGAUGUGGAGGAACACCGAUGGCGAAGGCAGCCCCCUGGGCCGAUACUGACGCUCAUGCACGAAAGCGUGGGUAGCAAACAGGAUUAGAUACCCUGGUAGUCCACGCCCUAAACGAUGUCAACUAGGUGUUGGGUGGGUAAAACCAUUUAGUACCGUAGCUAACGCGUGAAGUUGACCGCCUGGGGAGUACGGCCGCAAGGUUAAAACUCAAAGGAAUUGACGGGGACCCGCACAAGCGGUGGAUGAUGUGGAUUAAUUCGAUGCAACGCGAAAAACCUUACCUACCCUUGACAUGUCCAGAAGCCCGAAGAGAUUUGGGUGUGCCCGAAAGGGAACUGGAACACAGGUGCUGCAUGGCUGUCGUCAGCUCGUGUCGUGAGAUGUUGGGUUAAGUCCCGCAACGAGCGCAACCCUUGUCGUUAAUUGCCAUCAUUUAGUUGGGCACUUUAACGAGACUGCCGGUGACAAACCGGAGGAAGGUGGGGAUGACGUCAAGUCCUCAUGGCCCUUAUGGGUAGGGCUUCACACGUCAUACAAUGGUCGGUACAGAGGGUUGCCAAGCCGCGAGGUGGAGCCAAUCCCAGAAAGCCGAUCGUAGUCCGGAUUGCAGGCUGCAACUCGCCUGCAUGAAGUCGGAAUCGCUAGUAAUCGCGGAUCAGCAUGUCGCGGUGAAUACGUUCCCGGGUCU
RNAcentral lists this ribosomal RNA (1359 nucleotides) under uncultured bacterium. Its description in RNAcentral is "bacterial SSU rRNA". It matches the Rfam family "Bacterial small subunit ribosomal RNA", at positions 28 to 1381 of the family's 1533-position model. The record is from RNAcentral.